RNAcentral lists this small RNA (646 nucleotides) under Pongo abelii (Sumatran orangutan). RNAcentral describes it as "processed transcript". The record is from RNAcentral. Lineage: Eukaryota; Metazoa; Chordata; Mammalia; Primates; Hominidae.
AUCAUUUCUACUACAGUGGCGGAGCCGUACAGGACCUGUUUCACUGCAGGGGGAUCCAAAACAAGCCCCGUGGAGCAGCAGCCAGAGCAACAGCAGCCGCAAGACAUUGUUUCUCUCCCUCUGCCCCCCUUCCCCACGCAACCCCAGAUCCAUUUACACUUUACAGUUUUACCUCACAAAAUCUACUACAAGCACCAAGCUCCCUGAUGGAAAGGAGCAUCGUGCAUCAAGUCACCAGGGUGGUCCAUUCAAGCUGCAGAUUUGUUUGUCAUCCUUGUGCAACAAUCUCCUCCUCCACUGCCACUACAGGGAAGUGCAUCACAUGUCAGGUCACAGAACAGAAAGUGCUGGUGGACAUCUCUUCUUGCCCCAAGAUCUUCGUUGGAAGUCCCCGGGACUUGGUGUCUUUGCCGUUCAAAGUGUUUAUGAACUCGCCAGGAGGCAUAAUGUGUCACCAUUUUAUUCUGGGCCACCCUAAAGGAUGACACCCAGCUUCAGAGACCUCCUCUUGGACGACAUCCCUGAGAAUCAAUGUUUUAGCUGUCCCAUAGUCUGACAUCUGUUUCUGAUCGCUUUUGAGCUGGCACAGGCUUAGUCAUUAAUGGCCAGGACGAUGUUAAAUGUUCUGCCUGAUUGGCUUGCAGCU